RNAcentral lists this ribozyme (115 nucleotides) under Aedes aegypti (yellow fever mosquito). Its description in RNAcentral is "drz-agam-1 ribozyme". It matches the Rfam family "drz-agam-1 ribozyme". Lineage: Eukaryota; Metazoa; Arthropoda; Insecta; Diptera; Culicidae. The record is from Rfam by way of RNAcentral.
UGCCCAGCAACUCCUAUUCCUACUUCCUCGUGGUGCUGGCCGGGGUACGAGUAACCUUAGGGAAGAUCGGGUAACCAACCCGGAGGGAGCUUUGGUCGUAUGCUAACAGGGAGGG